GGUCUGAGGAGGAAGACUUCAAAGCAGAUUGACAUGAGAGACUGAAAAGCCCUGAGAAAACUGGGAAUGAAAGAACACACAGCACCCAAACACAUUUUGUGCUCCUUCAAUCCAGGAACGAAGACGUGAUUGCUUGGUCGCUCAGAUGGAUCGUCUUAGUGC
Long non-coding RNA from Rhea pennata, 162 nucleotides. RefSeq lists it as uncharacterized. The transcript has 3 exons. The record is from RefSeq and is a predicted model, not a curated record. NCBI's taxonomy places the organism in Eukaryota, Metazoa, Chordata, Aves, Rheiformes, Rheidae.